This 446-nucleotide long non-coding RNA is filed under the name Ananas comosus (pineapple). Its description in RNAcentral is "long non-coding RNA (ACOM_LNC023250)". Lineage: Eukaryota; Viridiplantae; Streptophyta; Magnoliopsida; Poales; Bromeliaceae. The record is from RNAcentral.
AAUUGCUUGAGAAAUAAAUUGAGGCGUGGUUUGAAUUUCGCGGACGAAAUUCUUUUUAAGGUGUGGAAAAUGUAACAUACCGGAUUUUAAUAUAAAAGUGAAAAUAAAUAAAAUAGUAUGAAAUACUAUUUUUACUGGAUUUAGAAAAGUAAAAUAUAAGUAAAAAAUGACUUGUACUGAAAUUGGAACGAAAACAGAAGAUUUAGAAUUUUCUGUUAGAGACGGAGCUGAUAUUUUAGCAGAAAAUGAACAGUGUCAGAAAAUUAUAAAAACUGGAGAAUAUGUCAGAAUUAUUUUUAUGAGGCUAGAUUUAAAGUUUCAUGUCAUUCUGACACCCGAAAGGUGGGAAAUAAAAUUCGACUGCUAUCUGCUCAAGAUUAUAGUUCGGUAGAGCUUUCGGUGACCAAACGGGGUCGAAACUGAAAGAUUAAAAUUUCUUUCGUUAA